UACGGGGGGGGCAAGCGUUGUUCGGAAUUACUGGGCGUAAAGGGCGCGUAGGCGGCACAACAAGUCGGGAGUGAAAGCCCGGGGCUCAACCCCGGAAUGUCUUUCGAAACUGUUGAGCUAGAGUGCAGAAGAGGCAACUGGAAUUCCCAGUGUAGCGGUGAAAUGCGUAGAUAUUGGGAAGAACACCAGAGGCGAAGGCGGGUUGCUGGGCUGACACUGACGCUGAGGCGCGAAAGCCAGGGGAGCGAACGGG
This 253-nucleotide ribosomal RNA is filed under the name uncultured bacterium. Its description in RNAcentral is "partial 16S ribosomal RNA". It matches the Rfam family "Bacterial small subunit ribosomal RNA", at positions 524 to 776 of the family's 1533-position model. The record is from RNAcentral.